GUCAAGAUUUUGCUAAAUUAAAAUACAGCAACUCAUUCUUCUCCGACUCUUGGAGUGGUCAAUCCCAUCUUGAUCACACUCCAACUUCGUAAGUACUUGACUGUGCCCAGAAGCUUUCCAUCACUGAAUUAGAAAUUCAGUUAGUCUAGUACCAAAGUACAGUGAGUUGCUUGCAAGUCACUGAGGCGAUCUCAGGUCUAAGAGACACUUAUACCUAUAUCCCAUC
Molecule: long non-coding RNA, 226 nt
Filed under: Elaeis guineensis (African oil palm)
Lineage: Eukaryota; Viridiplantae; Streptophyta; Magnoliopsida; Arecales; Arecaceae
Description: long non-coding RNA (EGUI_LNC045044)
Source: RNAcentral